AGCGUUACAGAACUUUUCAAGUUGAUGGAAUGUUUCAAUAUGAGUGAACGAGGUGGGCCCAAAACCCUACAUGUCCUUCUACUGCUCUUCUUCUUCUUUUUUUCACUAUAUGUCUCAAAAAGAAUGUGAAAGAGAAGCACACACAUGAGGAGCACAACUCUACCGCCUUUUGACUGAGUGACAAGUCAAGAGUAGCCAUCUCAGUAGUAGUCCUUUCCUUUCCUCCCCACCCAUCCAUCCACCGGACUCCUCCCUGUCCAAU
This is a non-coding RNA of Caenorhabditis elegans, 262 nucleotides long. NCBI's taxonomy places the organism in Eukaryota, Metazoa, Nematoda, Chromadorea, Rhabditida, Rhabditidae. The record is from Ensembl.